CAGAAUAAGACAAUGGGUAUGGACAGCAACUGUUGCUUGGUGGGGCAAGUGGGAGCAGUCCUCUCAUGCAGCAGAUGAAAGCUUGAGUGGGAUUGACCAAUGGGUCUGAAUAGGUGUAAGGCAGCUUCUGGUGCCUUUAGCACAGCAACAUCAUUGCAGCGUCUUGGACAAACACUGGGUGGGAUAUCUGCAUGCACCAAACAGCCACUGCCAUCAUUAACUCUGAGUAUAUCUUCCCCUUCCAGUUCCUUUCACGUGUGGUGUUCAAAGAAAUACGAGGGUGGUGCGGCUCCUGCGGAAGAAAACGAGGCUUUAAAGAAUUUUGACGGAGACCCACGUGACCGGAGGAAACCAUCGAGGCAACAGGGAGAGCCUUGCCGGAGGCAGUUGGUUUUGUUGCCCGCUCCCCUUGUUCACAGCGGGAGGA
This 427-nucleotide long non-coding RNA is filed under the name Podarcis muralis (Common wall lizard). RNAcentral's name for it is "lncRNA (ENSPMRG00000017265.1)". Lineage: Eukaryota; Metazoa; Chordata; Lepidosauria; Squamata; Lacertidae. The record is from RNAcentral.